AGGGGCGUAGCUUAAAGGUAGAGUUUCGGUCUUCAAAACCGAUUUGUAUAGGUUCAAAUCCUUUCGCCCUUA
RNAcentral lists this transfer RNA (72 nucleotides) under Candidatus Nasuia deltocephalincola. RNAcentral describes it as "Candidatus Nasuia deltocephalinicola tRNA". It matches the Rfam family "tRNA". Rfam says of the family: Transfer RNA (tRNA) molecules are approximately 80 nucleotides in length. Their secondary structure includes four short double-helical elements and three loops (D, anti-codon, and T loops). Lineage: Bacteria; Pseudomonadati; Pseudomonadota; Betaproteobacteria. The record is from Rfam by way of RNAcentral.